Molecule: ribosomal RNA, 274 nt
Filed under: uncultured bacterium
Lineage: Bacteria
Description: partial 16S ribosomal RNA
Rfam family: Bacterial small subunit ribosomal RNA
Source: RNAcentral
AUACGGAGGGUGCAAGCGUUACUCGGAAUCACUGGGCGUAAAGCGCGUGCAGGCGGUCUUUUAAGUUGGAUGUGAAAGCCUACAGCUCAACUGUAGAACUGCAUCCAAAACUAUUAGACUAGAGUCUGGGAGGGGAAGAUGGAAUUAGUUGUGUAGGGGUAAAAUCCGUAGAGAUAACUAGGAAUACCAAAAGCGAAGGCGAUCUUCUGGAACAGUACUGACGCUGAGGCGCGAAAGCGUGGGGAGCAAACAGGAUUAGAAACCCCGGUAGUCC